This 1202-nucleotide long non-coding RNA is filed under the name Strigops habroptila (Kakapo). Its description in RNAcentral is "lncRNA (ENSSHBG00005004745.1)". The record is from RNAcentral. Lineage: Eukaryota; Metazoa; Chordata; Aves; Psittaciformes; Psittacidae.
GAAGGUUGUACAAAAAGUCUCCAUGGUUGAUCUAGAGGCAAACAAUGUUAAAAGUGAGCUGGCUCUUUGGCAUGCUUACUCAGUUUAUAGCCAGUCCCUAUGCCCUUCACAUCCUCGGAGGUUCCUCACAGGCUUGUGCGUAUGCCCGGCUCAGCAGGUCUUUUAAAUAAAAUUAUACCAUGGAAUCAUCUAUCACAGAAUGGGUUGGGUUAGAAAGAAUCUUAAGUUCCACCCCCCCUGCCAUGCAGUGUUCAUGUUGCUAAUAAAUCUUUCAGGUGGCUGCAUGGCAGACCAGGGAGUUCUGGAACUUUUCUAGCCUACUCUUUGUUGAUAAACCUCGGGCAGGGCUGGCUGGUGGGGCUGUGCCAAUGGCAAAGCCAGCUUCCGUGCCUUGGGACUGGCAAUUCGUAAUUGAGCUUUAUCUUCCCCUUUAGGUAAGCAAAGGCAGCACAAGACUGAGUUUCAAGUGCUGUCCUUGUUCUCAGGAAGAAAAUAAGCACUGUGGCCUUCACCUGUGGAAAACUGGCACAUCUGUCUUUCAGGAAGUAGAGGCAAAUCUUACAAAUGGUUGCAUAUACUCAGUCACUUCAAGAAUUCAGUUUGAAAGGAUAACCCUUCACUUAGUCACAUUCUUGUUUUAAUUUGAAGGUUUUAGAAUAUUUACUUGGCUAUUUUGGGAAUUAAUGAUGAAUAUAGUGCCUCUGUUUUUCAGAAUUAGGCACUUUAAAAAAAGGUAGUUUGAAAUUCUCAUUAUAAACUUUGUAGCUUUAUCUGUCUGUGUCUUUCCCCUUCUGAAGACCAAGCAGGACCAAAUUUUACAUUUUAAAAUGUUAUAUUGAACUUACCCCAGCUCCUUUUAGUAAUUGCAUAGGUUGGCUUUUUUGGUUUGGCAAUGGAGGAGCGAUCUUUAUCCUGCAAAACCAGACAAAUCCCAUAAGCAGGACGAUCAGUCCCAAGUCUUACCUCAGCCUUCCCAUCUCAUGCACGUGCACAUUCCUGGUUUUGGCAAUCUAAGGGAUAGAUCAUACACAUAAUGCUUUUAAACAAAAUUGCUUGUUAUCACCUCAGGAUGGCCAUGCAAUGUAACUAGUAUUUGCUGCUCCAAAUUCUUGUAUUAUGUAUGUAUCAUGAAAAUAAAUGGAUGAAAAUAACCUAGAUGCAAAUGAAGUGCCAGAGAGGCGUGUAGCUUCCCUUAUCAAGAA